AGGAAAUCUUCAUAACCUCAGGAAGUUCUCCUGUGCCUCUUUGCAGUCACUUCCUCUCCGUGUCUUCCUCCCACCCCCGCCAUCUGAGGCAACCACAACUGGAAUUUCUAUCAUAUUGUGUUAAAUUACUACUUCUAGAAAUUCAUGUAAAUGAAAUCAACCAGAAUGUGAUGUUUUCAGAAUACCUGAAACUAAGCAAUGGAUAAAGAAGAAAAACGUAUUUCAUGUAAUUCUGGAGGCUUGGGAAAUCAAGGUCAAGAGGGAACAUCUGGUGAGAGCCUUCUUGCUGACAGAGUCUGUCACCAGGCUGGAGUGCAGUGGUGUGAUCUCGGUUCACUGUAACCUCUGCCUCCCAGGUUUCAAGCAAUUCUCCUGCCUCAGCCUCCCAAGUAGCUAGGACUACAGGCAUGCACCACCAUGCCCAGCUAAUUUUUGUAUUUUUAAUAGAAACAAGGUUUCACCAUGUUGGCCAGGGUGGUCUCAAUCUCCUGACUUCGUGAUCCACCCACCUUGGCCUCCCAAAGUGCUGAGAUUAUAGGCGUGAGCCACUGUACUCAGCCAUAUCUUUUUAAUUCGCGUAUUAAAUUCCAUUUGGAAUUCAUAUUCAUGUUUGAAAUUAGGAAGAGGUUUAACUAUAUACACACACAAAACACACAUUGACAUAUAUUUACAAAUAAACAAUUGUAUAAAUUCCUUUAUUGAAAAACUCGUAUUUUCCAAGUUGGUUGAGUCACCAUUAUCAUAUAUUAAAUGAUCAUACAUGUAUGGUUCUGCUUAUAUUUAUUUCUCUACACUAGGUAGAAUAUUUAAUAAUGUUGGAACAGAUACCACUGUCUUGUUCUGGCCUUAUUAAAAAUGUCUUUAUACUCGAGAAGCAAUAUGAUGUUUGAUAUUGAUCUUAGAUAAUUAUGUUUCAUAAUAUUCAGAAAUUCAUUUAGUCCAAUUGUAUCUUGGUAAUUUUAUAAAAAAUGUGUGCUGUAUAUUAUCAAUAUUUUUGUGUCUACUAUAUAUUCAUAAUUUCUCCCCAUUAUUUGCUAACUUGAUGAUAAAUGUUUGUUUUCUCAUACUUAUCCAUCCUUGAAUUGCUAAAAUUGAAUAUGUUUGGUCACAUUUUUGCAUUUCUAAUGGGGCAUGGAUACAUCUGUUACAAAUUUAGAUGCUAUAUUUAACUAUGAAAAAAUGUUUUUUAAUAAAGGACCCAUAAAACAAACAUGCUUCUCAAAUGAUUAGUGAAAUAUGUAUGCAUUUACAAUAUAAAUAAAAUAGUUGCAAAAUUAUCAGAAUAUUUUGUUUGUUUGUUUUGAGACAGAGUUUUGCUCUUGUUGCCCAGGCUGCAGUGCAAUGGCUCUAUUUCGGCUCACUGCAACCUCUGUCUCCCAGGUUCAAGCCUCCCAAGUAGCGGGGAUUACAGGCACACACCACCAUGCCUGGCUAAUUUUUUGUAUUUUUAGUAGAAACGGGGUUUCAUCAUGUUGUCCAGGCUAGUCUGGAACUCCUGACCUGA
RNAcentral lists this long non-coding RNA (1504 nucleotides) under Homo sapiens (human). Its description in RNAcentral is "HSALNT0306102". The record is from RNAcentral. Lineage: Eukaryota; Metazoa; Chordata; Mammalia; Primates; Hominidae.